Molecule: ribosomal RNA, 390 nt
Filed under: Cryptorhynchus lapathi (poplar-and-willow borer)
Lineage: Eukaryota; Metazoa; Arthropoda; Insecta; Coleoptera; Curculionidae
Description: eukaryotic LSU rRNA
Rfam family: Eukaryotic large subunit ribosomal RNA
Source: RNAcentral
GCUUAUACUCGACCGUCAGUGGCACGUGCGAUCGUAUAUCGAUUUCUUCGGUAUACGGUCACGAAGCUCUGACGAGUAGGAGGGUCGCGGCGGUGAGCGCAGAAGGGCUGGCCGUGAGGCCGUCUGGAGCCGCCGUCGGUGCAGAUCUUGGUGGUAGUAGCAAAUACUCCAGCGAGGCCCUGGAGGACUGACGUGGAGAAGGGUUUCGUGUGAACAGCCGUUGCACACGAGUCAGUCGAUCCUAAGCCCUAGGCGAAAGCCGAUGUCGAUGUGGUGUAGUUUUAUGUUAUGUUACGAAAAUAUAAUAUUUUACUCGUACACACCCAUUGGGCGAAAGGGAAUCCGGUUCCUAUUCCGGAACCUGGCAGCGGAACCGUCAAAAAGUCGGGC